ACUUGGAUAAGGCACUCUUAUUU
Molecule: microRNA, 23 nt
Filed under: Monodelphis domestica (gray short-tailed opossum)
Lineage: Eukaryota; Metazoa; Chordata; Mammalia; Didelphimorphia; Didelphidae
Description: mdo-miR-7386g-5p
Source: miRBase by way of RNAcentral